AGAAAAUCCAGCUAGGGAAUGCAGAGAGAUGAGAGGCUCUCGAUUUUCUAACCCCCUUUUUUACGCCGGAAAAAUCCAAAAAUCAGUCGCCGGCGGCAGGAAUUGCCACCGGAAACACGUAGAAGACGGGUGAAUCACUCACCCGUUUUCGUCUUCCCCGGUUCACCAAAUCCCUUUUUAAUAACAGGUUCAAACACCCUUUUCAAUCUUUAGUCUCUUUUUUUUCAAUCAAUUUAGAACCAAACAAAAAAAAAAUGGCCCCUGAAGAGAAAUGUGGAGCUUUGAACGGAAAAUAUGAACUCGGUCGACUUUUAGGCCAUGGAACAUUCGCGAAAGUUUAUCACGCUCGAAACGUGAAGAAUGGUAAAAAUGUUGCCAUGAAAGUAGUGGGGAAAGAAAAAGUUAUUAAAGUAGGUAUGAUGGAUCAGAUCAAGCGAGAAAUCUCGGUUAUGAAAAUGGUGAAAAACCCAAACAUAGUCGAGCUCCACGAAGUCAUGGCGAGUAAAACAAAGAUUUACUUCGCCAUGGAGUUCGUUAAAGGAGGUGAGCUUUUCGCGAAGAUCGCGAAAGGCAAGGUGAGAGAGGAUGUUGCUAGAGGUUACUUCCAGCAACUGAUCUCAGCUAUCGACUUCUGUCAUAGCAGAGGAGUAUUUCAUCGCGAUUUGAAACCUGAAAACUUAUUGUUGGAUGAAGAAGGAAAUCUCAAAAUUACUGAUUUUGGGCUAAGUGCAUUUACAGAACAUCAAAGACAAGACGGAUUGCUUCAUACAACUUGCGGAACUCCGGCUUAUGUUGCCCCUGAAAUUAUUGGUAAAAAAGGCUACGAUGGUUCAAAAGCAGACAUAUGGUCAUGUGGAGUGAUUCUCUAUGUUUUACUAGCUGGUUUUUUACCAUUUCAAGACGAAAACAUCAUGGCGAUGUAUAAGAAGAUUUACCGGGGUGAUUUCAAAUGUCCACCUUGGUUUUCAUCUGAAGCUAGGAGGUUGAUCACGAAGAUGUUGGAUCCGAAUCCUAAUUCAAGAAUCACUACUUCAAAGAUCAUGGAUUCGUCAUGGUUCAAAAAAUCGAUCCCAAAGACGUUAAGGAACAAAGAUGAGGAAGAAUUUGCAUUUGCAUUUGCAUCAGAUAAGUCUAGUAAACAAGUUGAGACAAUGAACGCGUUUCAUAUCAUUUCUUUAUCUGAAGGGUUUGAUUUGUCACCAUUGUUCGAAGAGAAUAAAAGGAAUGAGAAAGAACAGAUGAGAUUCGCGACUACAAUGUCAGCAAGUAGUGUGAUAUCUAAGCUUGAGGAGGUAGCAAAGACAACGAAUUUCAUCGUAAAAAAGAGUGAUUCCUGUGUAAAACUACAAGGACAAGUGGUGGGGAGAAAAGGGAAAUUAGGAAUUGCUGCUGAUAUAUUUGCUGUGACAAAUUCAUUUCUAGUUGUGGAAGUGAAUAAAGCAAGUGGUGAUACAUUGGAGUAUAAUCAAUUCUGCAGCAAAGAGCUAAGACCAGCACUUAAGGAUAUUGUUUGGACAUCAGCAACAUAGAUUAAUGAUCUACACUUACUUUGAAUCAUAUAAUAAAAAUAAGGUGUAGAUUUGGGAAGUUUUCAUUUUGUUGUGUUUGUUUUCAUGUUGUUAAUUUACAUUUUUAUUAAUUUAGAGGCUCAAGAAAGUUUCUUGAAUGGAAUGUCUGUUUGUGUUUGUUUUGCAAGUUUGCAUCUACUUUUACUACUUGUUCUAAAAUUAUGUGUUGUGCUUUAAUAAUUUGUGUUUGGUUGUAAAUUGUGAUGUUUCGUUUGAGUCAA
This 1789-nucleotide unclassified non-coding RNA is filed under the name Hevea brasiliensis (rubber tree). Lineage: Eukaryota; Viridiplantae; Streptophyta; Magnoliopsida; Malpighiales; Euphorbiaceae. The record is from RNAcentral.